CCGGCGCACGGGUGAGUAACACGUAUGGAACCUGCCCUAUGCAGGGGGAUAAGCGGAAGAAAUUCCGUCUAAUACCGCAUAACACCAUUUGGAGACAUCUCCAGGUGGUCAAAGGAGGCGACUCCGGCAUAGGAUGGCCAUGCGUCGCAUUAGCUAAUCGGCGGGGUAACGGCCCACCAAGCCGACGAUGCGUAGGGGUUCUGAGAGGAAGGUCCCCCACAUUGGAACUGAGACACGGUCCAAACUCCUACGGAAGGCAGCAG
Molecule: ribosomal RNA, 263 nt
Filed under: uncultured bacterium
Lineage: Bacteria
Description: partial 16S ribosomal RNA
Rfam family: Bacterial small subunit ribosomal RNA
Source: RNAcentral